Gasterosteus aculeatus (three-spined stickleback) is the source of this 613-nucleotide long non-coding RNA. NCBI's taxonomy places the organism in Eukaryota, Metazoa, Chordata, Actinopteri, Perciformes, Gasterosteidae. The record is from Ensembl.
AUGGCACGCCACGCGUUAACAUACAGGGCGUCGUCCCCGAGAGUGACUCCAAACGCUUCGUUGUUGACGUCACUCGCCCACCUCCUUCGAACCGGUAGGUUCUUUUGUGUCACCGCUGGAGGGGGUUACCUUUCACCUGCCACGUCACGCAGAGACAAUCAGGGGGGGUUUUCAGCGAGCAUUCAACUCAAGCGACUUCUUCCCAGAUGUUCCACAGGAACAGCUUUUCUCCUGCUGAAGUCGAAGUGCCGAAGUCACGUGGCCGAGUUAUACAAGAUGAGGCGUGUUUAUCGGAGCUUCACAUGGAUGGGGAGGAAUCGGGAGGAAACAUUUGCUGUGAUCAAGCGGAGCCGCUUUCUGUUGUUUUUAGUUAAUCCUUUAUUUUGUAUUGUAUUUCAUUGCAGCAUCUUGCACAAACAAAAAACACAAAGUAUCAACUUGUACAUAAACCGAUAAAAUCUUUCACACACUAGUAUCAAAACAAAUUAACAAGCAUUCACAUACAACCGAUCUAAAAUCCCAUCAGUAAAAAAAAAAAAAAAGAAAUAUUAAUAUUAUAAUAGGAAAUAAACACAAACAUAUUUACAAAGUCUCCUGUUGAGACUUCAACUAC